GGUAAUAUAGGCACACAAGGAUGCCUAGGUAGAGAGCCGAUGAAGGACGUGGUAAGCCUGCGAUAAGCCUAGAUAAGUUGCAAUCGAACGUAAGAAUCUAGGAUUUCCGAAUGGAGCAAUCUAUUAAGAUGGAGCCUUAAUACGAAAGAGGGAACCGCGUGAACUGAAACAUCUAAGUACCGCGAGGAAAAGAAAGUAAAAACGAUACCCAAAGUAGCGGCGAGCGAAUGGGUCAAGCCUAAACCUUAAAUAUGUCAAGGAUACAGCCGUUGUAUUUAGGGGGUUGAGGGACAGAGUAGUGAAGAACUGUAAGAUAUUCAAUAUAGUGUAUUGAUGAAUUGGAAUUGUCUGGAAAGGCGAACCGUAGAAGGUGAAAGUCCUGUACAAGUAAAUCNUUACACAUAUAACUCUGCUCCCAAGUAACAUGGAACACGAGGAAUUCUGUGUGAAUCUGUGAGGACCAUAUCUCAUAAGGCUAAAUACUCU
This 486-nucleotide ribosomal RNA is filed under the name Fusobacterium periodonticum. Its description in RNAcentral is "bacterial LSU rRNA". It matches the Rfam family "Bacterial large subunit ribosomal RNA", at positions 1 to 479 of the family's 2925-position model. The record is from RNAcentral. Lineage: Bacteria; Fusobacteriati; Fusobacteriota; Fusobacteriia; Fusobacteriales; Fusobacteriaceae.